Molecule: ribosomal RNA, 440 nt
Filed under: uncultured bacterium
Lineage: Bacteria
Description: partial 16S ribosomal RNA
Rfam family: Bacterial small subunit ribosomal RNA
Source: RNAcentral
CUACGGGACGCUCCAGUGGGGAAUAUUGCACAAUGGAGGAAACUCUGAUGCAGCAACGCCGCGUGGAGGAUGACACUUUUCGGAGCGUAAACUCCUUUUAUAUAGGAAGAAGAUGACGGUACUAUAUGAAUAAGCGCCGGCUAACUCCGUGCCAGCAGCCGCGGUGAAUACGGAGGGUGCAAGCGUUACUCGGAAUCACUGGGCGUAAAGAGCGUGUAGGCGGAUUAAAAAGUCAGAAGUGAAAUCCUAUAGCUUAACUAUAGAACUGCUUCUGAAACUCUUAAUCUAGAAUAUGGGAGAGGUAGAUGGAAUUUCUGGUGUAGGGGUAAAAUCCGUAGAGAUCAGAAGGAAUACCGAUUGCGAAGGCGAUCUACUAGAACAUUAUUGACGCUGAGACGCGAAAGCGUGGGGAGCAAACAGGAUUAGAUACCCUAGUAGUC